CUGCACUGAAUGAGAUUUAACACGAAGUGAGUGCGGACGGGUGAGUAACACGUGGGUAACCUGCCCAGAAGCAGGGGAUAACACCUGGAAACAGAUGCUAAUACCGUAUAACAGAGAAAACCGCCUGGUUUUCUUUUAAAAGAUGGCUCUGCUAUCACUUCUGGAUGGACCCGCGGCGCAUUAGCUAGUUGGUGAGGUAACGGCUCACCAAGGCGAUGAUGCGUAGCCGACCUGAGAGGGUAAUCGGCCACAUUGGGACUGAGACACGGCCCAGACUCCUACGGGAGGCAGCAGUAGGGAAUCUUCCACAAUGGACGCAAGUCUGAUGGAGCAACGCCGCGUGAGUGAAGAAGGGUUUCGGCUCGUAAAGCUCUGUUGUUAAAGAAGAACGUGGGUGAGAGUAACUGUUCACCCAGUGACGGUAUUUAACCAGAAAGCCACGGCUAACUACGUGCCAGCAGCCGCGGUAAUACGUAGGUGGCAAGCGUUAUCCGGAUUUAUUGGGCGUAAAGCGAGCGCAGGCGGUCUUUUAAGUCUAAUGUGAAAGCCUUCGGCUCAACCGAAGAAGUGCAUUGGAAACUGGGAGACUUGAGUGCAGAAGAGGACAGUGGAACUCCAUGUGUAGCGGUGAAAUGCGUAGAUAUAUGGAAGAACACCAGUGGCGAAGGCGGCUGUCUGGUCUGUAACUGACGCUGAGGCUCGAAAGCAUGGGUAGCGAACAGGAUUAGAUACCCUGGUAGUCCAUGCCGUAAACGAUGAUUACUAAGUGUUGGAGGGUUUCCGCCCUUCAGUGCUGCAGCUAACGCAUUAAGUAAUCCGCCUGGGGAGUACGACCGCAAGGUUGAAACUCAAAAGAAUUGACGGGGGCCCGCACAAGCGGUGGAGCAUGUGGUUUAAUUCGAAGCUACGCGAAGAACCUUACCAGGUCUUGACAUCUUCUGCCAACCUAAGAGAUUAGGCGUUCCCUUCGGGGACAGAAUGACAGGUGGUGCAUGGUGUCGUC
This 1003-nucleotide ribosomal RNA is filed under the name Pediococcus acidilactici. Its description in RNAcentral is "bacterial SSU rRNA". It matches the Rfam family "Bacterial small subunit ribosomal RNA", at positions 66 to 1056 of the family's 1533-position model. The record is from RNAcentral. Lineage: Bacteria; Bacillati; Bacillota; Bacilli; Lactobacillales; Lactobacillaceae.